GGCUCAAGAUGAACGCUGGCGGUAUGCUUAACACAUGCAAGUCGAACGGUGUCUUCGGACACAGUGGCGGACGGGUGAGAAACGCGUGAGAAUCUGGCUUCAGGUCGGGGACAACCACUGGAAACGGUGGCUAAUACCGGAUGUGCCGAAAGGUGAAAGAUUUAUUGCCUGAAGAUGAGCUCGCGUCUGAUUAGCUAGUAGGUGUGGUAAGAGCGCACCUAGGCGACGAUCAGUAGCUGGUCUGAGAGGAUGAUCAGCCACACUGGGACUGAGACACGGCCCAGACUCCUACGGGAGGCAGCAGUGGGGAAUUUUCCGCAAUGGGCGAAAGCCUGACGGAGCAAUACCGCGUGAGGGAGGAAGGCUCUUGGGUUGUAAACCUCUUUUCUCAGGGAAGAAAAAAAUGACGGUACCUGAGGAAUAAGCAUCGGCUAACUCCGUGCCAGCAGCCGCGGUAAUACGGAGGAUGCAAGCGUUAUCCGGAAUGAUUGGGCGUAAAGCGUCCGCAGGUGGCUAUGUAAGUCUGCUGUUAAAGAGUGAGGCUCAACCUCAUAAAAGCAGUGGAAACUACAUAGCUAGAGUGCGUUCGGGGCAGAGGGAAUUCCUGGUGUAGCGGUGAAAUGCGUAGAGAUCAGGAAGAACACCGGUGGCGAAAGCGCUCUGCUAGGCCGCAACUGACACUGAGGGACGAAAGCUAGGGGAGCGAAUGGGAUUAGAUACCCCAGUAGUCCUAGCCGUAAACGAUGGAUACUAGGCGUGGCUUGUAUCGACCCGAGCCGUGCCGUAGCUAACGCGUUAAGUAUCCCGCCUGG
Molecule: ribosomal RNA, 812 nt
Filed under: uncultured bacterium
Lineage: Bacteria
Description: bacterial SSU rRNA
Rfam family: Bacterial small subunit ribosomal RNA
Source: RNAcentral